Molecule: ribosomal RNA, 194 nt
Filed under: Vagococcus silagei
Lineage: Bacteria; Bacillati; Bacillota; Bacilli; Lactobacillales; Enterococcaceae
Description: Vagococcus sp. 2B-2 partial 16S ribosomal RNA
Rfam family: Bacterial small subunit ribosomal RNA
Source: RNAcentral
UUAUUGAGAGUUUGAUCCUGGCUCAGGACGAACGCUGGCGGCGUGCCUAAUACAUGCAAGUCGAACGCACUUUCUUUCACCGGAGCUUGCUCCACCGAAAGAAAGUGAGUGGCGGACGGGUGAGUAACACGUGGGCAACCUGCCCAUCAGAGGGGGAUAACACUUGGAAACAGGUGCUAAUACCGCAUAAUUUG